This 375-nucleotide ribosomal RNA is filed under the name uncultured bacterium. RNAcentral's name for it is "bacterial SSU rRNA". It matches the Rfam family "Bacterial small subunit ribosomal RNA", at positions 523 to 898 of the family's 1533-position model. The record is from RNAcentral.
AUACGUAGGGUGCAAGCGUUAAUCGGAAUUACUGGGCGUAAAGCGUGCGCAGGCGGUUUGGCAAGAAGGAUGUGAAAUCCCAGGGCUUAACCUUGGAACUGCAUUCUUAACUGCCAGGCUAGAGUAUGUCAGAGGGGGGUAGAAUUCCGCGUGUAGCAGUGAAAUGCGUAGAGAUGCGGAGGAAUACCGAUGGCGAAGGCAGCCCCCUGGGAUAAUACUGACGCUCAUGCACGAAAGCGUGGGGAGCAAACAGGAUUAGAUACCCUGGUAGUCCACGCCCUAAACGAUGUCAACUAGCUGUUGGGGCCUUCGGGCCUUAGUAGCGCAGCUAACGCGUGAAGUUGACCGCCUGGGGAGUACGGUCGCAAGAUUAAA